UUAAGUACUUGUGUUUGCAGAGGACUCGGGGUCAGAAGAGGAAGCGAGUCUCCAUAUGUGAGGAUGAGAAGUUAGAGGAACAGCCCCAGCGUGAGCGGCGCCAGAGGCAGGCUGCCCUGCUGAAGAAGCCCAAAGCAGACGACACCAGAACCGACUGCGUGAGCUGCGCCGGGCCCGGAGACAACGACAACCUCGUCAGGUUGUGAGAGAGCUGGGCCUCCACCCACCACCCCUUCCUCUCCUCUCCUCCUCUGGUCCUCUCCUCCUCCUCCUCCUCCUCUCCUCCUCUGCUCCUUCUCUCUUCC
This is a long non-coding RNA of Clupea harengus (Atlantic herring), 305 nucleotides long. RefSeq lists it as uncharacterized. The transcript has 3 exons. The record is from RefSeq and is a predicted model, not a curated record. NCBI's taxonomy places the organism in Eukaryota, Metazoa, Chordata, Actinopteri, Clupeiformes, Clupeidae.